Molecule: ribosomal RNA, 251 nt
Filed under: uncultured bacterium
Lineage: Bacteria
Description: partial 16S ribosomal RNA
Rfam family: Bacterial small subunit ribosomal RNA
Source: RNAcentral
UACGGAGGGGUUAGCGUUGUUCGGAAUUACUGGGCGUAAAGCGUGCGCAGGCGGUUUGUUAAGCGAGAUGUGAAAGCCCCGGGCUCAACCUGGGAAUUGCAUUUCGAACUGGCGAACUAGAGUCCUGUAGAGGGGGUAGAAUUCCAGGUGUAGCGGUGAAAUGCGUAGAGAUCUGGAGGAAUACCGGUGGCGAAGGCGGCCCCCUGGACAAAGACUGACGCUCAGGCACGAAAGCGUGGGGAGCAAACAGG